UACGGGGGGGGCAAGCGUUGUUCGGAAUUACUGGGCGUAAAGGGCUCGUAGGCGGCCCACUAAGUCAGACGUGAAAUCCCUCAGCUUAACUGGGGAACUGCGUCUGAUACUGGAUGGCUUGAGAUUGGGAGAGGGAUGCGGAAUUCCCGGUGUAGCGGUGAAAUGCGUAGAUAUCGGGAGGAACAUCAGUGGCGAAGGCGGCCUUCUGGUCCAGUACUGACACUCAAGUGCGAAAGCGUGGGGAGCAAACAGG
RNAcentral lists this ribosomal RNA (253 nucleotides) under uncultured bacterium. RNAcentral's name for it is "partial 16S ribosomal RNA". It matches the Rfam family "Bacterial small subunit ribosomal RNA", at positions 524 to 776 of the family's 1533-position model. The record is from RNAcentral.